This 234-nucleotide small RNA is filed under the name Drosophila willistoni. RNAcentral describes it as "GK27370". Lineage: Eukaryota; Metazoa; Arthropoda; Insecta; Diptera; Drosophilidae. The record is from RNAcentral.
UUACUUAGCCAAUUUUAGCCGUAUACAAAAUCAUCGGCUUUUGCACUUACACACUGGCAGGUUGGUUUUUCUGUUUCGUUUAAAAGCAAGUCAUUGAACUACCCAUAUGGUGACCAAAAAUAUUGAAAAAGGAUCUACCGAGCGACUAAGGCUCAGUCGCGGAAGAAGAAAAAGAAGAAGACUUAUUAAAUGAAUCAAGAGAAUCGGCAUAUUUAUACAUCCUUGAGACGAACA